UACGUAGGGUGCGAGCGUUGUCCGGAAUUACUGGGCGUAAAGAGCUCGUAGGUGGUUUGUCGCGUUGUUCGUGAAAUCUCACGGCUUAACUGUGAGCGUGCGGGCGAUACGGGCAGACUAGAGUACUGCAGGGGAGACUGGAAUUCCUGGUGUAGCGGUGAAAUGCGCAGAUAUCAGGAGGAACACCGGUGGCGAAGGCGGGUCUCUGGGCCGAUACUGACGCUGAGGAGCGAAAGCGUGGGGGAGCGAACAGG
This 254-nucleotide ribosomal RNA is filed under the name uncultured bacterium. RNAcentral's name for it is "partial 16S ribosomal RNA". It matches the Rfam family "Bacterial small subunit ribosomal RNA", at positions 524 to 776 of the family's 1533-position model. The record is from RNAcentral.